This 293-nucleotide ribosomal RNA is filed under the name uncultured Acidobacteriota bacterium. RNAcentral's name for it is "uncultured Acidobacteria bacterium partial 16S ribosomal RNA". Lineage: Bacteria; Pseudomonadati; Acidobacteriota. The record is from RNAcentral.
GGACUACUGGGGUAUCUAAUCCCGUUCGCUCCCCUGGCUUUCGCGCAUCAGCGUCAGUGUCGGCCCAGCAACCCGCCUUCGCCGCAGGUGUUCCUCUCGAUAUCUACGCAUUUCACCGCUACACCGAGAAUUCCAGUUGCCCCUUCCGCACUCUAGCCGCGCAGUAUCAGUUGACCUUUCCGAGUUAAGCCCGGAGAUUUCACAACUGACUUGCGCUGGCCGCCUACGCGCCCUUUACGCCCAGUAAAUCCGAACAACGCUUGCUCCCCCCGUAUUACCGCGGCUGCUGGCAC